GCGUGGGUUGCCAAGCUUGGUCAAAGGCGCAGGACUCAGGAUCCUGUCCUGCAGAGGUUCGCAGGUUCAAAUCCUGCCCCACGCA
Molecule: non-coding RNA, 85 nt
Organism: Euryarchaeota archaeon RBG_16_67_27
Lineage: Archaea; Methanobacteriati; Methanobacteriota
Source: Rfam